This is a non-coding RNA of Camellia sinensis, 1069 nucleotides long. NCBI's taxonomy places the organism in Eukaryota, Viridiplantae, Streptophyta, Magnoliopsida, Ericales, Theaceae. The record is from RefSeq and is a predicted model, not a curated record.
ACGAUUAAAAAGUCGGGGCCACACUUCAGUCACAACUUGCUCAUUCCCUCCUCUUCAAUGUUGCUCAAUCUUCAGCCCUAAAGUUGAGAGCUCCAAGGCAGAUUGGGAGCUCAUCGUCUUCAAAUUUUGGUGCCUCUCUCUCGCUCUCUCUCUGUAAUUGAUCUCCGUAAUCAACCUGUAAGAGCUCCAAUUCGAACUUUCAAUUUCUUAUCGUAAUCGAUCUCCGUAAUCAACCUGUAUCCUGAUACGAAAGAGGAGGCAAUUGCUGAGGCUUGCCCUGUUUGUUGUGGAAACUGCAAUUGCAAAGCAUGCUUACGUUUAGAUGGAUCUCUUAAAGUCAGUCAGUUUUCUUUGCUCCAGACAUUUCACGAUCUGUUCUAUCAGUGCCUAUUCUAGAUCAUAAUGUAAUUUAAAAUUGAAGAUCAACGAAGAUGAAAAGGUUCACCACUCCAUGUAUUUGCUACAUGCACUUAUUCCAUUUCUGAAACAUUUCAAUCAAGAGCAAUUGAUGGAGAAGGAAACAGAGGCCAAGAUUCAAGGGUAAUCAUUAGCAGCAUUAGAGCUACAAAAGGCAGCUUGUGAAAAGGAUGAGCGUGUUUAUUGCAACUACUGUAAAACUUAUGUUGUUGAUUUCCACAGAAGCUGUCCAAACUGUUUUUAUGACCUUUGCCUUACUUGUUGCCGGGAGGUCCGUGAUGGUCACUUGCAGGGAGGUGGGAAGGAAGUAAUCUUAUUGUACAAUAUUUUCUUAUUUGGAAGAGGCUUCUUCAUUCUCUUGCACUGGUUUUUGGUUGUAUAAUUGCAUCAUCUUUGGGAUGUCCAAAUGGUGUCACACCUAAGUACAACUUGAAGCCUCUUGUGCCAAUGCUGUUUGAUAUAAAACAUGACAUUGAUGUUGAGAAAAUGUUUUUUUAGAUAUUCUCUUUGAAGAAACUGUUGCUAUUUUCAUUUGAACGGUUACUACUUUGAUUUGAAUUUGGAAACUUUCAGUUUUAAUUUUUGUAAAAUUUUACUUUUUAUAUACUCAUUGUGGUUUGGGAAUAAAAUGUUUUUGAUGUGUGGAUGUCAA